UACGUAGGGUGCGAGCGUUGUCCGGAAUUAUUGGGCGUAAAGAGCUCGUAGGCGGUGUGUCACGUCGGCCGUGAAAACCUGCAGCUUAACUGUGGGCGUGCGGUCGAUACGGGCAUCACUGGAGUUCGGCAGGGGAGACUGGAAUUCCUGGUGUAGCGGUGAAAUGCGUAGAGAUCGGGAGGAACACCCGUGGCGAAGGCGGCCGACUGGGCCGACUCUGACGCUGAGGCGCGAAGGCGUGGGGAGCGAACGGG
RNAcentral lists this ribosomal RNA (254 nucleotides) under uncultured bacterium. Its description in RNAcentral is "partial 16S ribosomal RNA". It matches the Rfam family "Bacterial small subunit ribosomal RNA", at positions 524 to 776 of the family's 1533-position model. The record is from RNAcentral.